CAAAAGGUUCCACAAUUUUAUUGUUCUCUAAUUUAUUUCCCCUCUCUGGAGCAACUCCACCUCCGUUUUAAUACUUUCAAAUAUUACAUUCCUUUUUUUCCAAAAUCAAGAUAUCUCGGUGCCCGCUCGUGAAGAUAUAUUUAAGAGGAUGUCGCCGAAAUGUCCCAGCAUGAUGCGCCUGAAUCUAGUGUCCUCCACCGGUGGUGGUGGUGACGCAGCACUGUUGGAAGAAGGAGACAUUUCUGAUAGCACUUCUGUACUGUCUCUCUUUCCAAGCAAGCCGCCAUCACCAAAGAAGCUGCUCAUUGAUGAUG
Molecule: long non-coding RNA, 314 nt
Organism: Lathyrus oleraceus (garden pea)
Lineage: Eukaryota; Viridiplantae; Streptophyta; Magnoliopsida; Fabales; Fabaceae
Exons: 2
Source: RefSeq, a predicted model, not a curated record